AUGGCAGGGCUGCAACAACUCAUACACAUCACCUUGGAGCAGCCCCUGGCUGCCUUCCAUCUCGUGAGGCAAACAGAAAGAGGGUCUGACUCCAUCCUUUUCCCUCCUGUUGUCCUCCAGAGGUUGUCUGCCCAGGAAAGGAACAGGUGCUCCUUUAAAAGAGCAGCUGGCACAGCAGUGUCACCAGGGGUGCGAGCACAAAGGGCCCCACUGCUGCUGGGCUCACCUCAGGGGGCUGAAGUUUGCUGUCCCACCAAACAUGCCCGUUCUGGAAGAGGUACCUGCAGCCAGGAGAGCCAGGACUGAUUCUCACAUGGGCAAAACCAUGGAUGGCAUCACUGCCAGCAGCGGCCUCUGCGCUCUCACCAAAUCCCUUCAUUUACUGUAGCAAUCCACGCUACAAAACUGCAGCGACUGAGCCACUGCUUUUCCCCCCAGGACCAGCAAAGCCACGGCGGGGUUCAGGACAGAGCCUCAGCAGAGCACAGCACACAGCACACAGCACUGGGGUCGAGGUGAAGCACUGCAAGAUCCAACCCAUCGCCCUGCUCCCCGUCAGCCACCUCCAGGCCUGAGGUGCAUGACAUCUGUCUGUUCCCUGCAGCUGUGGCUGAAAAGCCACAAGAACUGAGGGUCACUGGUAUUAACACCCCCUUGGAAUCGGUCCCACAGGAGCAGGUCUCAGGCCAACCUUUUGGCUGAGGCUUACAAGAGCCACCAGCCAGCAGGGCUGCCAGGAGCUAUAUAUAUCUUGCCUGGAUUUGAACUGCCCACAAACCUCCACCACAAAUAUUUGGAGGAAGGGGAGGGGGUAAAAGAAACAAAAACAUUAAAAAAUAUUGUCUCAGCAGUGAGAAAAGCUAUCAAACAACCCAUGACAAUUGAAAAAUUAGGCACUUCAAAAGCUUGGUUACUUUAUAAAUGGUGCGGUGUUUCCAGAGCAAGCAACUCAGGCACUGCUGGGCCACUCUCCUUCCCAAACCAUCUGUGCUAAAGCCAAAGGGCAGAGGAAAGACACCAGCCCUCCUUACGACCCCUCCUCACCCACUAGUUGCACCUCAGCCUCCCCAGACACCGGCAAGGAGAAAACCCACCUGCAUGGACCUGAUUCUUCCUCUCCCCUACCAACCUCCAUCUCUGAGCAUCCCCCUGGGGACAGUUACAUCAUUAAUAUAUAUUUAC
RNAcentral lists this long non-coding RNA (1182 nucleotides) under Lepidothrix coronata (blue-crowned manakin). Its description in RNAcentral is "lncRNA (ENSLCOG00000009790.1)". The record is from RNAcentral. Lineage: Eukaryota; Metazoa; Chordata; Aves; Passeriformes; Pipridae.